CAAAAAUAAGAAAAAACAUAAAAAAAUAUUUUUUUUUUUUUAUAUUUUUUUUUAUUUUUAUUUUAUUAUUUUUUUUUUUUUUUUUGUUUCUUUGUUUACUAAAUGUAUUUAUUUACCAUUAUUAUAAUUUAUGAUAUAGGAAAUGUAUGUAUGCAUAUACAUAAUAAAUUGUAAUUUUCAAAAAAAAAAAAAUAGAUAAAACACAUAUUUUUAUUAUUUUUUUUAAAUUAUAAUAAUCUGAUAAUAAGCAACAAAAAAAAAUAAAAAAAAAUAAAAUAAAAUAAAAUAAAAAUAAAAAGAAGCUAAAAAAAAAAAAAAGCUACAAAAAAUGAAAUGUUUAGUUAUAGUAGAUGCACAAAAUGAUUUUUUACCAGGAGGUGCAUUUAAUGCAGAUGAGGUAUAUAUGGAGGCACUGAAAACAAUAAAUUCUAUAAGAUUAAAAAUGUAUAAUUGUAAAGAAAGCAAUUUAUUAAAGCUAAAAGAUUGUAAACAUAUAAUAAAAUAUAAGAAAGAUAAACUAAAAGAUGAAGGCAUCGUGAGAUAUUUAAAUUGUAGUUGCGAUGUAGAUGAUGAGAAUAUUGCAGAUGAUUUAUUAUUAUUUCCAUACGAUGAUCAUGUUAAUAAAAUAGAUCUAAAAAAUUCACUAUUAUUAAACAAUUCAAAUGAACAUUUUAAUAACCUAAUAGAAACAAAAGAAGAGCAGCUAACUGGUAGUGUAAUUCAUCAUGGUAGUAAUAACAUAAAUCAUAUCAAAACAAAAUAUAAACAAAUAUAUAGUGAUAACAAUAACUACAAUUUAAAUGAUUAUAGGGAUGUAAAUAAUAUAAUAGAAAAAGAACCUAUAGCUAAUGUAAAUACAAAUUAUAACAAGUCAAAUUUCGCUAUGAAUAUUUUAACUGUUGACUAUCACCCUCAGUUUCAUAUUUCAUUCGCAGAAACGCAUAGGUUUAUUUAUAGAAUGAUAUGCAAAAAUGAUUUAAAAAUAAAAAAGAAACUGAAAUUAAAUGGGUACCUUAAUGGUCAAGAAAAUGGACAUGUAAAUGGACACUUAAAUGGACACUUAAAUGGGCAAGAAAAUGGACAUGUAAAUGGACACUUAAAUGGGCACCUAAAUGGGCAAGAAAAUAGACACUUAAAUGGAUACUUAAAUGGACACCUAAAUGGGCAAGAAAAUAGACACUUAAAUGGAUACUUAAAUGGACAUGUAAAUGAACAUUUAAAUGGAGACUUAAAUGGAGACUUGGAUGACGUGCCAAUGUAUGCGAAUACACAUGAACAUAUUAACGGUGUAGACCCAAAUGGUAACAUUUUGCUGGAAUUAGAAAAUAAUGAAGUGAAAAAAAAAAGAAAAGGUAGUGUAGCCCAGUUAGUAAAACGUGAUGGAAUAAAAUCAAUAGUAAUAAAUAAAAAUAAAACAAGGGUAAUAAAAAAGGAGAACGUAGAAACAGAGACGGAGAUAAUAGAAUUGGGAAAUGUUGAAGAGUGUGAAGAAAAAGAAUGCAUGGAUAUAGAAAAAGAAAAGUUAAAUGAUUCUUGCUCCUUUUUUUUAAAUAAAUAUAAAAUUAAUAAUUUAUCAGAUGUAAUAAAAAAUAUCAAAAGGAUUAAAAAUCCUACAUAUAUUUAUAAAAAUAUAAAAUCUAUACAUAAUAUUAAAGAAUACAGCAAUAUAUAUUUUUUAAAUAAGCCAAUAAAUAUAUGGCCUGUCCAUUGUGUUCGAAACACAGUAGGAUGUAAAAUUCAUAAAAAAUUAAUUCGACAUGUAAAUGAUAUAAUUAUAAAAAAAGCUACUAGCGAGAAUUAUGAAAGUCACACAAUAUUUGAAAAUAGCAAAAUUAGUGAAAAUAUAUUAAAAGUUUUAUAUUCAAAUAAUAUAAAACAGGUAUAUAUAUGCGGUUUUAUAUUUGAAUAUUGUGUUAAAGCAACAGCACUAAGUUUCCAUGAUUUAGGGUUUGAAACUUAUAUUGUUGAAGAUGCAACAGCAUAUUUAAUCGACAAAAAGAAAGAGAUGAUUUUUUUAAAAAAAAAAGGUAUUAAAUUUAUACAAUCCUCAAAUCUUUUUACUUAAUAAUAAAAAAAUAAAUUACAUUUUGUUUUUUGGCA
RNAcentral lists this long non-coding RNA (2100 nucleotides) under Piliocolobus tephrosceles (Ugandan red Colobus). RNAcentral describes it as "lncRNA (ENSPTEG00000003333.1)". Lineage: Eukaryota; Metazoa; Chordata; Mammalia; Primates; Cercopithecidae. The record is from RNAcentral.